GGGCCAGUAGCUCCAAUUGGUAGAGCGGCGGACUCCAAAUCCGUAGGCUGUUGGUUCGAAUCCAGCCUGGCCUGCCA
Molecule: transfer RNA, 77 nt
Filed under: Chrysiogenia bacterium
Lineage: Bacteria; Pseudomonadati; Chrysiogenota; Chrysiogenia
Description: tRNA-Trp
Rfam family: tRNA
About the family: Transfer RNA (tRNA) molecules are approximately 80 nucleotides in length. Their secondary structure includes four short double-helical elements and three loops (D, anti-codon, and T loops).
Source: RNAcentral